Molecule: ribosomal RNA, 747 nt
Filed under: uncultured bacterium
Lineage: Bacteria
Description: bacterial SSU rRNA
Rfam family: Bacterial small subunit ribosomal RNA
Source: RNAcentral
AGAGUUUGAUCAUGGCUCAGAAUCAACGCUGGCGGCNNNUUAACACAUGCAAGUCGCACGAGAAAGUGGAGCAAUCCAUGAGUACAGUGGCGUACGGGUGAGUAACACGUGGAUUAUCUACCUUCUAGUGGGGAAUACCUCCGGGAAACUGGAGACAAUACCGCAUAAUCUCGAGAGAGGAAAGCCGCAAGGCCUGGAAGAGGAGUCCGCGGCUGAUUAGCUAGUUGGUGAGGUAAUGGCUCACCAAGGCUCAGAUCAGUAGCCGGCCUGAGAGGGCACACGGCCACACUGGCACUGAAACACGGGCCAGACUCCUACGGGAGGCAGCAGUGGGGAAUCUUGCACAAUGGGGGAAACCCUGAUGCAGGACGCCGCGUGAGCGAUGAACCUUCGGGGUGUAAAGCUCUUUCGGCAGGGAAGAUUAUGACGGUACCUGCAGAAGCAGCUGCGGCUACUACGUGCCAGCAGCCGCGGUAAUACGUAGGCAGCAAGCGUUGUUCGGAGUUACUGGGCGUAAAGGGUGUGUAGGCGGUUGGAUAAGAGUGGUGUGAAAUCUCCCGGCUUAACUGGGAGGGUGCGCUACAGACUGUCUGACUAGAGUGUGGGAUGGGAGAGUGGAAUUCCUGGUGUAGCGGUGAAAUGCGUAGAUAUCAGGAGGAACCCGGGUGUAGACGGCUCUCUGGACCAUAACUGACGCUGAGACACGAAAGCGUGGGUAGCAAACAGGAUUAGAUACCCUAGUAGUCC